GGAGUCUGGACCGUGUCUCAGUUCCAGUGUGGGGGACCUUCCUCUCAGAACCCCUAGACAUCGUAGCCUCGGUGGGCCGUUACCCCGCCGACUAGCUAAUGUCUCGCGAGCCAAUCCGUAUCCGACGAAUCUUUCAAACAGAUGGGAUGCCCCAUCCGCUGUUAUGCGGUAUUAGACGACGUUUCCAUCGCUUAUCCCCCUGAUACGGGCAUGUUGCUCACGCGUUACGCACCCUUGCGCCGGUCGCCGCCAGAAGUAUUGCUACCUCCGCGCUGCCCCUCGACUUGCAUGUGUUAAGCCUGCCGCUAGCGUUCAUC
This 317-nucleotide ribosomal RNA is filed under the name uncultured Bacteroidales bacterium. Its description in RNAcentral is "partial 16S ribosomal RNA". Lineage: Bacteria; Pseudomonadati; Bacteroidota; Bacteroidia; Bacteroidales. The record is from RNAcentral.